This 511-nucleotide ribosomal RNA is filed under the name uncultured bacterium. RNAcentral's name for it is "partial 16S ribosomal RNA". It matches the Rfam family "Bacterial small subunit ribosomal RNA", at positions 29 to 523 of the family's 1533-position model. The record is from RNAcentral.
AACAAACGCUGGCGGCGUGCCUAACACAUGCAAGUCGAACGAGAAAGUUCCGCAAGGGAUGAGUAAAGUGGCAGACGGGUGAGUAAGGGAUGAGCAACCUUCCUUUAAAUUUGGGAUAACAUCUCGAAAGGGAUGCUAAUACUGGAUAAGACCCCGCUUUUAGGUAAGUGAGGUAAAAGAUAGCUGCAAAGGCUGUUGUUUAGAGAUGGGCUCAUCGACCAUUAGCUAGUUGGCAGGGUGAUGGCCUACCAAGGCUGUGAUGGUUAGGCGGUCUGAGAGGAUGAUCGGCCACACUGGAAUUGAGAAACGGUCCAGACUCCUACGGGAGGCAGCAGUGAGGAAUAUUGCGCAAUGGGGGAAACCCUGACGCAGCAACGCCGCGUGAGUGACGAAGGCCUUCGGGUUGUAAAGCUCUGUCGGAUGGGACGAAGGUUACUGGGUGAAUAUCCUAGUAAUUUGACGGUACCAUUAGAGGAAGCCCCGGCUAACUCUGUGCCAGCCGCCGCGGUAA